This 23-nucleotide microRNA is filed under the name Columba livia (rock pigeon). RNAcentral's name for it is "cli-miR-1805-3p". Lineage: Eukaryota; Metazoa; Chordata; Aves; Columbiformes; Columbidae. The record is from miRBase by way of RNAcentral.
UGUAUUGGAACACUACAGCUCCC